RNAcentral lists this ribosomal RNA (459 nucleotides) under uncultured bacterium. RNAcentral describes it as "partial 16S ribosomal RNA". It matches the Rfam family "Bacterial small subunit ribosomal RNA", at positions 338 to 795 of the family's 1533-position model. The record is from RNAcentral.
CCUACGGGUGGCAGCAGUGAGGAAUCUUGGUCAAUGGGCGCGAGCCUGAACCAGCCAAGUCGCGUGAGGGAAGACGGUCCUAUGGAUUUUAAACCUCUUUUGUCGUGGAGCAAAAGACGCCACGCGUGGCGUUCCGAGUGUACCCGAAGAAAAAGCAUCGGCAAACGCCGUGCCAGCAGCCGCGGUAAUACGGGGGAUGCGAGGGUUAUCCGGAUUGAUUGGGUUUAAGGGGAGCGCAGGGGGAAGAUAAAGUCAGCGGGAAAAUUGAGAGGCUCAACCUCUUCGAGCCGUUGAAACUGGUUUUCUUGAGUGAGCGAGAAGUAUGCGGAAUGCGUGGUGUAGCGGUGAAAUGCAUAGAUAUCACGCAGAACUCCGAUUGCGAAGGCAGCAUACCGGCGCUCAACUGACGCUCAUGCACGAAAGUGUGGGUAUCGAACAGGAUUAGAUACCCCAGUAGUC